RNAcentral lists this ribosomal RNA (193 nucleotides) under Acinetobacter baumannii. RNAcentral describes it as "partial 16S ribosomal RNA". It matches the Rfam family "Bacterial small subunit ribosomal RNA", at positions 1 to 205 of the family's 1533-position model. Lineage: Bacteria; Pseudomonadati; Pseudomonadota; Gammaproteobacteria; Moraxellales; Moraxellaceae. The record is from RNAcentral.
UUUAACUGAAGAGUUUGAUCAUGGCUCAGAUUGAACGCUGGCGGCAGGCUUAACACAUGCAAGUCGAGCGGGGGAAGGUAGCUUGCUACUGGACCUAGCGGCGGACGGGUGAGUAAUGCUUAGGAAUCUGCCUAUUAGUGGGGGACAACAUCUCGAAAGGGAUGCUAAUACCGCAUACGUCCUACGGGAGAAA